Molecule: ribosomal RNA, 2755 nt
Filed under: Salmonella enterica subsp. enterica serovar Infantis
Lineage: Bacteria; Pseudomonadati; Pseudomonadota; Gammaproteobacteria; Enterobacterales; Enterobacteriaceae
Description: bacterial LSU rRNA
Rfam family: Bacterial large subunit ribosomal RNA
Source: RNAcentral
AGCGUACACGGUGGAUGCCCUGGCAGUCAGAGGCGAUGAAGGGCGUGCUAAUCUGCGAUAAGCGCCGGUAAGGUGAUAUGAACCGUUAUAACCGGCGAUACCCGAAUGGGGAAACCCAGUGUGACUCGUCACACUAUCAUUAACUGAAUCCAUAGGUUAAUGAGGCGAACCGGGGGAACUGAAACAUCUAAGUACCCCGAGGAAAAGAAAUCAACCGAGAUUCCCCCAGUAGCGGCGAGCGAACGGGGAGGAGCCCAGAGCCUGAAUCAGCAUGUGUGUUAGUGGAAGCGUCUGGAAAGGCGCGCGAUACAGGGUGACAGCCCCGUACACAAAAGCGCAUGUGCUGUGAGCUCGAUGAGUAGGGCGGGACACGUGGUAUCCUGUCUGAAUAUGGGGGGACCAUCCUCCAAGGCUAAAUACUCCUGACUGACCGAUAGUGAACCAGUACCGUGAGGGAAAGGCGAAAAGAACCCCGGCGAGGGGAGUGAAAAAGAACCUGAAACCGUGUACGUACAAGCAGUGGGAGCNNGUGACUGCGUACCUUUUGUAUAAUGGGUCAGCGACUUAUAUUCUGUAGCAAGGUUAACCGAAUAGGGGAGCCGGAGGGAAACCGAGUCUUAAUUGGGCGUUAAGUUGCAGGGUAUAGACCCGAAACCCGGUGAUCUAGCCAUGGGCAGGUUGAAGGUUGGGUAACACUAACUGGAGGACCGAACCGACUAAUGUUGAAAAAUUAGCGGAUGACCUGUGGCUGGGGGUGAAAGGCCAAUCAAACCGGGAGAUAGCUGGUUCUCCCCGAAAGCUAUUUAGGUAGCGCCUCGUGAAUUCAUCUCCGGGGGUAGAGCACUGUUUCGGCUAGGGGGCCAUCCCGGCUUACCAACCCGAUGCAAACUGCGAAUACCGGAGAAUGUUAUCACGGGAGACACACGGCGGGUGCUAACGUCCGUCGUGAAGAGGGAAACAACCCAGACCGCCAGCUAAGGUCCCAAAGUCAUGGUUAAGUGGGAAACGAUGUGGGAAGGCCCAGACAGCCAGGAUGUUGGCUUAGAAGCAGCCAUCAUUUAAAGAAAGCGUAAUAGCUCACUGGUCGAGUCGGCCUGCGCGGAAGAUGUAACGGGGCUAAACCAUGCACCGAAGCUGCGGCAGCGANNGUUGGGUAGGGGAGCGUUCUGUAAGCCUGCGAAGGUGGCCUGUGAGGGUUGCUGGAGGUAUCAGAAGUGCGAAUGCUGACAUAAGUAACGAUAAAGCGGGUGAAAAGCCCGCUCGCCGGAAGACCAAGGGUUCCUGUCCAACGUUAAUCGGGGCAGGGUGAGUCGACCCCUAAGGCGAGGCCGAAAGGCGUAGUCGAUGGGAAACGGGUUAAUAUUCCCGUACUUGGUGUUACUGCGAAGGGGGGACGGAGAAGGCUAUGUUGGCCGGGCGACGGUUGUCCCGGUUUAAGCGUGUAGGUGUGUGUUCCAGGUAAAUCCGGUUCACUUUAACACUGAGGCGUGAUGACGAGGCACUACGGUGCUGAAGCAACAAAUGCCCUGCUUCCAGGAAAAGCCUCUAAGCAUCAGGUAACAUCAAAUCGUACCCCAAACCGACACAGGUGGUCAGGUAGAGAAUACCAAGGCGCUUGAGAGAACUCGGGUGAAGGAACUAGGCAAAAUGGUGCCGUAACUUCGGGAGAAGGCACGCUGACACGUAGGUGAAGUGAUUUACUCAUGGAGCUGAAGUCAGUCGAAGAUACCAGCUGGCUGCAACUGUUUAUUAAAAACACAGCACUGUGCAAACACGAAAGUGGACGUAUACGGUGUGACGCCUGCCCGGUGCCGGAAGGUUAAUUGAUGGGGUCAGCGCAAGCGAAGCUCCUGAUCGAAGCCCCGGUAAACGGCGGCCGUAACUAUAACGGUCCUAAGGUAGCGAAAUUCCUUGUCGGGUAAGUUCCGACCUGCACGAAUGGCGUAAUGAUGGCCAGGCUGUCUCCACCCGAGACUCAGUGAAAUUGAACUCGCUGUGAAGAUGCAGUGUACCCGCGGCAAGACGGAAAGACCCCGUGAACCUUUACUAUAGCUUGACACUGAACAUUGAGCCUUGAUGUGUAGGAUAGGUGGGAGGCUUUGAAGUGUGGACGCCAGUCUGCAUGGAGCCGACCUUGAAAUACCACCCUUUAAUGUUUGAUGUUCUAACGUGGACCCGUGAUCCGGGUUGCGGACAGUGUCUGGUGGGUAGUUUGACUGGGGCGGUCUCCUCCUAAAGAGUAACGGAGGAGCACGAAGGUUGGCUAAUCCUGGUCGGACAUCAGGAGGUUAGUGCAAUGGCAUAAGCCAGCUUGACUGCGAGCGUGACGGCGCGAGCAGGUGCGAAAGCAGGUCAUAGUGAUCCGGUGGUUCUGAAUGGAAGGGCCAUCGCUCAACGGAUAAAAGGUACUCCGGGGAUAACAGGCUGAUACCGCCCAAGAGUUCAUAUCGACGGCGGUGUUUGGCACCUCGAUGUCGGCUCAUCACAUCCUGGGGCUGAAGUAGGUCCCAAGGGUAUGGCUGUUCGCCAUUUAAAGUGGUACGCGAGCUGGGUUUAGAACGUCGUGAGACAGUUCGGUCCCUAUCUGCCGUGGGCGCUGGAGAACUGAGGGGGGCUGCUCCUAGUACGAGAGGACCGGAGUGGACGCAUCACUGGUGUUCGGGUUGUCAUGCCAAUGGCACUGCCCGGUAGCUAAAUGCGGAAGAGAUAAGUGCUGAAAGCAUCUAAGCACGAAACUUGCCCCGAGAUGAGUUCU